UGGGGAAUCUUCCGCAAUGGACGAAAGUCUGACGGAGCAACGCCGCGUGAGUGAAGAAGGUUUUCGGAUCGUAAAACUCUGUCUUUUGGGGCGAACGUGAGUAUGGUGAACAAUCAUAGUCAGUGACGGUACCAAAGGAGGAAGCCACGGCUAACUACGUGCCAGCAGCCGCGGUAAUACGUAGGUGGCAAGCGUUGUCCGGAAUUAUUGGGCGUAAAGAGCGCGUAGGCGGGAUAGUCAGUCUGUUGUAAAGUGCGGGGCUCAACCCCGUGAUGGCAAUGGAAACAGCUAUUCUUGAGUGCAGGAGAGGAAAGUGGAAUUCCCAGUGUAGCGGUGAAAUGCGUAGAUAUUGGGAGGAACACCAGUGGCGAAGGCGACUUUCUGGACUGUGUCUGACGCUGAGGCGCGAAAGCCAGGGGAGCGAACGGGAUUAGAUACCCCGGUAGUCCUGGCCGUAAACGAUGGGUACUAGGUGUGGGAGGUAUCGACCCCUUCCGUGCCGGAGUUAACGCAAUAAGUACCCCCGCCU
This 529-nucleotide ribosomal RNA is filed under the name uncultured bacterium. Its description in RNAcentral is "partial 16S ribosomal RNA". It matches the Rfam family "Bacterial small subunit ribosomal RNA", at positions 355 to 874 of the family's 1533-position model. The record is from RNAcentral.